GUAUUUGGUUCUUUUUGACGUGUGUGUGAGUGUGUGUGUAUGUGUGUGUGUGUGUGUGUGUGUGUGUGUGUGUGUGUGUGUGAUGUGACACCAUAACCUGUGACACCCACAUGGAACUCUGUGCAAGCCUGUCUUCAGGGAGUGGCAUAGAUUGGGGAAUGGCAGGGUAGCAGCAGGAGGUCUGGCUUGGUCUUCUGAGUUCCUUGACAGAUGGUGUAAGGAUAAGCUGGCCAUCACCUGAAGCUCCUCUCAGACUUGAAGAGCAUCAUAGGAACAAGCCCAUGGACAUUUCCCUGAAGAUGAAGGACCAUAACACCCCAUACAGUCUUUCAUAGGCUGGUCCAUGAAUGAAGUUGCACAGACUAGUGAGAUAACCGUCUGGGCUGCAGCUUGAGGAUUUGGAGGAUCAUCUGACUACGAAAGGGAAUGUGCCAGAUAGCUAUCAAAGCUUCAAGUGAAGAAAGUCACAGCCUGGGAACAAACUUGCCAAACAGAACCUAACACCUCAAAGUAAAUCUUGUACAAAUGAUUAAGUGGCAUACUUCUG
This 547-nucleotide long non-coding RNA is filed under the name Cricetulus griseus (Chinese hamster). RNAcentral's name for it is "lncRNA (ENSCGRG00015038115.1)". The record is from RNAcentral. Lineage: Eukaryota; Metazoa; Chordata; Mammalia; Rodentia; Cricetidae.